RNAcentral lists this ribosomal RNA (497 nucleotides) under uncultured bacterium. RNAcentral's name for it is "partial 16S ribosomal RNA". It matches the Rfam family "Bacterial small subunit ribosomal RNA", at positions 28 to 507 of the family's 1533-position model. The record is from RNAcentral.
GAUGAACGCUGGCGGCGUGCCUAAUACAUGCAAGUCGAGCGAACGGACGAGAAGCUUGCUUCUCUGAUGUUAGCGGCGGACGGGUGAGUAACACGUGGAUAACCUACCUAUAAGACUGGGAUAACUUCGGGAAACCGGAGCUAAUACCGGAUGAUAUUUUGAACCGCAUGGUUCAAAAGUGAAAGACGGUCUUGCUGUCACUUAUAGAUGGAUCCGCGCUGCAUUAGCUAGUUGGUAAGGUAACGGCUUACCAAGGCAACGAUGCAUAGCCGACAUGAGAGGGUGAUCGGCCACACUGGAACUGAGACACGGUCCAGACUCCUACGGGAGGCAGCAGUAGGGAAUCUUCCGCAAAGGGCGAAAGCCUGACGGAGCAACGCCGCGUGAGUGAUGAAGGUCUUCGGAUCGUAAAACUCUGUUAUUAGGGAAGAACAUAUGUGUAAGUAACUGUGCACAUCUUGACGGUACCUAAUCAGAAAGCCACGGCUAACUACGUG